AUCAAUUGGUGCUUUCAUUCUUGAACACCAACACCUCUCAUGGCUAAUUCAACCCUUCAACCUCCAUAUUAUCAUCCCAUAACCACCCAUGUUCCAGACCCAUCUCCAUAUUAUACCUCCCACACUCCUCCAUUCUAUCCUCAGCCACCACCCAACACCAACCCUUCAUCUUUUAACUCAUAUUAUUACCCUGCAUCCACCGUACCAACUCCACCCCCUCCACCCAACCCAAAUUUUCCUUCAUAUCCACAUCAUCU
This 257-nucleotide long non-coding RNA is filed under the name Trifolium pratense (red clover). Its description in RNAcentral is "long non-coding RNA (TPRA_LNC011649)". The record is from RNAcentral. Lineage: Eukaryota; Viridiplantae; Streptophyta; Magnoliopsida; Fabales; Fabaceae.